GGGGGGGGGGGGGGGGGGGGGGAGGGGGGGGGGGGGGGGGGGGGGGGCGGGGGGCUGGGGGGGCGGACGGUAGCGGCGGGCGGGGGAGGGACACGGGGAUAACCUACCUAUAAGACGGGGAUAACUGCGGGAAACCGGAGCUAAUACCGGAUAAUAUAUGGAACCGCAUGGUUCAAUAGGGAAAGACGGUUUUGCUGUCACUUAUAGAUGGAUCCGCGCCGCAUUAGCUAGUUGGUAAGGUAACGGCUUACCAAGGCAACGAUGCGUAGCCGACCUGAGAGGGUGAUCGGCCACACUGGAACUGAGACACGGUCCAGACUCCUACGGGAGGCAGCAGUAGGGAAUCUUCCGCAAUGGGCGAAAGCCUGACGGAGCAACGCCGCGUGAGUGAUGAAGGUCUUCGGAUCGUAAAACUCUGUUAUUAGGGAAGAACAAAUGUGUAAGUAACUAUGCACGUCUUGACGGUACCUAAUCAGAAAGCCACGGCUAACUACGUG
RNAcentral lists this ribosomal RNA (497 nucleotides) under uncultured bacterium. RNAcentral's name for it is "partial 16S ribosomal RNA". It matches the Rfam family "Bacterial small subunit ribosomal RNA", at positions 38 to 507 of the family's 1533-position model. The record is from RNAcentral.